This 315-nucleotide ribosomal RNA is filed under the name uncultured eukaryote. RNAcentral's name for it is "partial 18S ribosomal RNA". It matches the Rfam family "Eukaryotic small subunit ribosomal RNA", at positions 1470 to 1796 of the family's 1831-position model. The record is from RNAcentral.
CCCUUAGACGUUCUGGGCCGCACGCGCGCUACACUGACCAGUGCAACAAGCAUCCGUCCUUGGCCGACAGGCUCGGGCAAUCUUUGAACGCUGGUCGUGAUGGGGAUAGACUUUUGCAAUUUUUGGUCUUCAACGAGGAAUUCCUAGUAAACGCAAGUCAUCAACUUGCAUUGAUUACGUCCCUGCCCUUUGUACACACCGCCCGUCGCACCUACCGAUUGAAUGGUCCGGUGAAGCCUCGGGAUUGCGAAUGCUUCGUGCGGACGCGAGAACUUGGCUAAACCUUACCAUUUAGAGGAAGGUGAAGUCGUAACA